GCCCAGACUCCUACGGGAGGCAGCAGUGGGGAAUAUUGGGCAAUGGGCGCAAGCCUGACCCAGCAACGCCGCGUGAAGGAAGAAGGCUUUCGGGCUGUAAACUUCUUUUAUGAGGGACGAAGGAAGUGACGGUACCUCAUGAAUAAGCCACGGCUAACUACGUGCCGGCAGCCGCGGUAAUACGUAGGUGGCGAGCGUUAUCCGGAUUUACUGGGUGUAAAGGGCGUGUAGGCGGGAUUGCAAGUCAGAUGUGAAAACUAUGGGCUCAACCCAUAGCCUGCAUUUGAAACUGUAGUUCUUGAGUGCUGGAGAGGCAAUCGGAAUUCCGUGUGUAGCGGUGAAAUGCGUAGAUAUACGGAGGAACACCAGUGGCGAAGGCGGAUUGCUGGACAGUAACUGACGCUGAGGCGCGAAAGCGUGGGGAGCAAACAGGAUUAGAUACCCGUGUACC
This 451-nucleotide ribosomal RNA is filed under the name uncultured bacterium. Its description in RNAcentral is "bacterial SSU rRNA". It matches the Rfam family "Bacterial small subunit ribosomal RNA", at positions 329 to 794 of the family's 1533-position model. The record is from RNAcentral.